Solanum lycopersicum (tomato) is the source of this 2955-nucleotide non-coding RNA. NCBI's taxonomy places the organism in Eukaryota, Viridiplantae, Streptophyta, Magnoliopsida, Solanales, Solanaceae. The record is from RefSeq and is a predicted model, not a curated record.
GUAAAAAGAGUUUCUACAAAUUAUUUUUUUGAAUGAAGAGUAAAGAGAGUUGUUAGCAUGGACAAAAUGGCAAGGUUUUCUUUGAUCUGCUAAAAACUCAAGGGAGCUUCUAGUGCAGUUAUGGGUGCCUUUGCGUCAUAUGUUAAUAUGAAUGUUCAUGACUUCAUCAAAAUGAUACAAGUUUUCAUGUUUCUGUGGACCAAUAUCUUGAAUAUUUCAUCAUGAGGUUUGGUCUUGGACGGCUAGUAUGAUCACCAUCAUUUUUGUUAGCUGGCUUGACUUGUAGUAUUGAACUUUAGAAGUAUGUGCUUCUCACCUUGUCCUUGAGGGAAUAAUGAAUAUGUGCUUCAUGAACACUUUAGUAGUGGUGGAAACUGUAUAUUGUAUUGGACAUAACAAUGAUUAAAUACAGGUCUGCAGGGACCGCCUUUCUAAGAGUAGUCCUUGUGUUUGGAGACUUGUGCUGGUCAAGAUACUAACACACCUAUCUAACGGAAGGAUAACUCUUAAAGCCUGUCUAGAUAAUAUCUAAUCUAAAACGCAAAUAAUAAAUAUAAAUUACUUUUAGUGGAUAAAACUAAUAACAAGAAAUAUGUAUUCUAAUACGCCCCAUAAAGUUAGGCUAUGCGUUACUAAGCCUAGAACAAAUUGUGAUGCUUGACGAGUGCUUUUGUGAGUGUAUCAGAUAGUUGAUCAGCAACAUGGACAGGAACAACUCGAACCAGUUGUCAUUGGACAUAUUUGCACAAAAAAUCUAAGUCCACCUCAACAUGUUUCAUGCUCUACUGGAUUCUCGCUCAAAUAAGUGACAAUGUGACAUAAAUGUUAUGACAGGAAAGGCAUUGGAAACUGCUAUAUUCAGCUACUGUUGAGGAGCGAGCUGCAGUAUUCUUCUUUUUGAAGGACUAGCUGAUAGGAUUUAGGCCAAGGAAACUAAAUUAUGCUUAAGAAGAGGGUGUGUGCAACAAGGAAGAUUGGGCUAUGAAGUUGGAUGACACUCUGUGGGCAUAUCAAACAGCAUAUAAACACCUAUUCUAACCUCUCCUUACAGGUUGGUUUAUGGGAAAGAUUGCCACCUGCUGGUCAAAUUGGAAUACAUGCAUAUUGGGCAAUCAAAAAAACUCAACUUGGAUAUGGCACUAGUAGGUGAGAAAUGCAUGCUAUAGUUGCACUAGUUGGUUAAGUUUAGGUUGCAUGCCUAUGAAAAUACGAAUAUGCAUAAGGAGAAAACCAAGUGGUAGCAUGCCAAAGCCCAGCAGGUGUCUAUCUCUGCACUGAACAGAUAUGCUGGCAUAGCAACCAGAGUUCCAAUACUUGUGUGGGAGGGCACAUUUGUGUGUAAGGCUUCCUGCUACCCAUACCAUAUGAUUCUUGCACAAAUGGGAAACCAUCCUGAGCACCCACUCCACAUCAGUUUCUUGGAGGCAUUUGAUCACCGGUUGCUUCCAAAUCUCAGAGAUAAGCCCACAACUAAAUCCAAAUCUCAGAGAUAAGCCCACAACUAAGAGUUGGGAAGACAGUAUGUUUAUUGUUGUUGAUUGCUUCUCAAGAAUGGAUCCAUGUUAUAAUGGUGAUGGUGCUACCAAUUUGGUCUUUUAAGAAGUGGUGCGCCUUCAUGGUAUACCAAGGUCCAUUCUGAGUGAUUGGGAUAUACAAUUUUUGAGUUAUUUUUGGAAAACUCUAUGGGCUAAAUUAGGAACAGGUUUGAUCUUUUGUACAACAUAUCAUCCUCAAACAGAUGGGCAAAUGGAAUGGCCGAUAGGACUUUGGGAAUCUUUUAAAGGUCAUAGUUGAAAAUAAUUUGAAGGCUUGGGAAGGGUGUAUUUCGUUUGUGGAGUUUGCAUAUAAUAAGAAUAUUCUUAGUACAACAGAUCAUUCACCUUUUGAAUUGGUAUAUGGUUUCAAUCCUUGUAUCUCCUUUAGAUUUACUUCCCAUUUCCGCUAAUGAAAUUUUGGGUGUUGAUGGCAAAGCUAAGGCCAUAUCGAUGAAGAAACUACAUGAGAAUGCUUGACAAUAUCUUGCGAUCAAGAAUGAUGCCUGUGCUUCCAUUGUCAAUUAAAGGAAAAGACGUAUUCCAAUUGGUGAUUGGGUAUAGAUACAUGUGAGGAAGGAGGGAUUUCUAUCCAAAAGGAAGAGAAAGCUUGAUCGAAGGGGAAAUAGACCAUUUUAAGUUGUUGUAAAGGAUCAAUGACAACGCCUACAAGCUUGAUUUGUUCGGUGAGUAUGGUGUUAGUGUUAACUUUAAUGUUUUUGGCUUAUCUUCAAGUGGGGAGAGAUGAUGCGUAUCUAGAGGCUAACCCGAGUCAAGUGGAUCCUUAAAGUUGACCAUUUAUGAGGAUCUAACAUAAUUUUUUUUACAAGAACUCCAAGACGUAACUCAAAUGAUCUAGUAUCACGACUUAAAGGACUAUGAUUGAAUCAAAUAAGCAAAUCCAAGGCCAAUUAUUCCUUCUUGCAUUAGAGGGAUCUGGUAUCAAGAACUCCUGUUUAGGUCAUUUUCAUUAAAGGCUAACAAUUAAGAGUGGGAAGAAAUGAACUUUGGGCCUAAUUCAACUUCAAAAGGUUGGUUGGUCAUGAGGUAAUGUUUGCCCAAAACCAUAUAAACUAAAAAACAACUCAUCCCUCAAGUCAUAACUCAUAACUAUAAAUACUCGUUUUAUUUGUGUUCUUUCUUUUUAGAAUGAAUUUGGAGGAAGAAAACUAUCGCUGGAGCUUAGAGUAUCUUAAUUCUUCUUGGCAACUUAAAAGUCUUUGUUAAUGUUUGUAGAUUUAGUCCCUCUUUGUAGUUUAGUAUGUUAAUUUGUUUCGUUUAGCUAUUGUAAUAGUUAGAAUUUCAAUACUUCGAUUUACUUGAGAGUUGAUUUCUCCAUUGAAGUUGGUUGUUCUGCGUUGGUUAGUGGAGUAAAAUUUUCAAAUAAAAAAUGUGAAUUCCCUCUUUCCUUUUGACACUCAAA